RNAcentral lists this ribosomal RNA (468 nucleotides) under uncultured bacterium. RNAcentral's name for it is "partial 16S ribosomal RNA". It matches the Rfam family "Bacterial small subunit ribosomal RNA", at positions 28 to 507 of the family's 1533-position model. The record is from RNAcentral.
GACGAACGCUGGCGGCGUGCUUAACACAUGCGAGUCGAACGGAAAGGCCCUGCUUUUGUGGUGUGCUCGAGUGGCGAACGGGUGAGUAACACGUGAGUAACCUGCCCUUGACUUUGGGAUAACUUCAGGAAACUGGGGCUAAUACCGGAUAGGAGCUCCUGCUGCAUGGUGGGGGUUGGAAAGUUUCGGCGGUUGGGGAUGGACUCGCGGCUUAUCAGCUUGUUGGUGGGGUAGUGGCUUACCAAGGCUUUGACGGGUAGCCGGCCUGAGAGGGUGACCGGCCACAUUGGGACUGAGAUACGGCGCAGACUCCUACGGGAGGCAGCAGUGGGGAAUAUUGCACAAUGGGCGGAAGCCUGAUGCAGCAACGCCGCGUGCGGGAUGAAGGCCUUCGGGUUGUAAACCGCUUUCGCCUGUGACGAAGCGUGAGUGACGGUAAUGGGUAAAGAAGCACCGGCUAACUACGUG